Molecule: ribosomal RNA, 433 nt
Filed under: uncultured bacterium
Lineage: Bacteria
Description: partial 16S ribosomal RNA
Rfam family: Bacterial small subunit ribosomal RNA
Source: RNAcentral
AACGAACGCUGGCGGCAUGCCUAACACAUGCAAGUCGAACGAGACCUUCGGGUCUAGUGGCGCACGGGUGCGUAACGCGUGGGAACCUGCCCGUAGGUUCGGAAUAACUCCCCGAAAGGGGUGCUAAUACCGGAUAAUGUCUUCGGACCAAAGAUUUAUCACCUUUGGAUGGGCCCGCGUUGGAUUAGCUAGUUGGUAGGGUAAAAGCCUACCAAGGCUACGAUCCAUAGCUGGUCUGAGAGGAUGAUCAGCCACACUGGUACUGAGACACGGCCCAGACUCCUACGGGCGGGAGCAGAGGGGAAUGGUAGACGCUGAGCGAAAACCUGAUCCGGCCAUGCCGCGUAAGUGAUGAAGGCCUUAGGGUUGUAAAGCUCUUUUACCCGGGAUGAUAAUGACAGUACCGGGGGAAUAAGCUCCGGCUAACUCCGUG